UACGUAGGGGGCGAGCGUUAUCCGGAAUUACUGGGUGUAAAGGGAGAGUAGGCGGCAAGGUAAGCGAUAUGUGAAAGCCUUAGGCUUAACCUGAGGAUUGCAUAACGAACUAUCUAGCUAGAGUACAGGAGAGGAAAGCGGAAUUCCUAGUGUAGCGGUGAAAUGCGUAGAUAUUAGGAAGAACACCAGUGGCGAAGGCGGCUUUCUGGACUGAAACUGACGCUGAGGCUCGAAAGCGUGGGGAGCAAACAGG
Molecule: ribosomal RNA, 253 nt
Filed under: uncultured bacterium
Lineage: Bacteria
Description: partial 16S ribosomal RNA
Rfam family: Bacterial small subunit ribosomal RNA
Source: RNAcentral